CAUUUGUUCUCUAAAUAGGGACUUGUAUGAAUGGCCACACGAGGGUUUAACUGUCUCUUACUCCCAAUCAGUGAAAUUGACCUUCCCGUGAAGAGGCGGGAAUACCACAAUAAGACGAGAAGACCCUAUGGAGCUUUAAUUAACUAACCCAAACUUAUGGAUACUAGAUACCUACAAGGCAUAACAUAACACCAUUAUUAUGAGUUAGCAAUUUAGGUUGGGGUGACCUCGGAAUAUAAAAAAACUCCCGAGUGAUUAAAAUUUAGACCCACAAGUCAAAAUACAACAUCACUUAUUGAUCCAAUAAUUUUUGAUCAACGGAACAAGUUACCCUAGGGAUAACAGCGCAAUCCUAUUCAAGAGUCCAUAUCGACAAUAGGGUUUACGACCUCGAUGUUGGAUCAGGACAUCCUAAUGGUGCAGCAGCUAUUAAGGGUUCGUUUGUUCAACGAUUAAAGUCCU
Molecule: ribosomal RNA, 462 nt
Filed under: Canis lupus familiaris (dog)
Lineage: Eukaryota; Metazoa; Chordata; Mammalia; Carnivora; Canidae
Description: partial large subunit ribosomal RNA
Rfam family: Bacterial large subunit ribosomal RNA
Source: RNAcentral